Molecule: non-coding RNA, 2131 nt
Organism: Oryctolagus cuniculus (rabbit)
Lineage: Eukaryota; Metazoa; Chordata; Mammalia; Lagomorpha; Leporidae
Source: RefSeq, a predicted model, not a curated record
GGACAGAAGGCAGAAAGAGAACUCCCUUUCGUGCACUGCUCUCGGGACUGCUGGCUAUUUGCAGAAUUCUUAUGUCAACAGCACCAGUAAACAAGCGUUAAUAUUGCAAGUGGAGGCAACAACCAGAGGGAAUUCAAUGUCGUUAGCUGCAUGGAGAUGGGAGAGGGCAUCGUGGCAGCUCCUGGAAGCCAGCGCUCUGUGGCUGUCAGCGGUGUGAAAUGGAGCUGCUUCAAAGCCGACUGGGCUGUGACCUGAAAGCUGCGCAUCCCUGCACCUGAUGCCCAGGAAAAUAUGAGGUUACCUAUCAAGCCUAACACCCUCAAUGGAAAUAAAGCAACUCCAAGCUCCGUGAAGAAGGCCGGGUGUCCCAAGAGUUCACUUCCCACAUCACUCUCAGGCCCUCUGAUGAUUCACUGGACCAGGACACAGAGGAAAGUGGAAAAGAAGUGGUGAGAGAACACGGGUAUCAGUUUUUCUUUCCUUCAGUGUCCACCUGCAUAUUUCCAAAGCAAUAACCCAAAUGGCUCCAUUCACAACUAGAACACGAGUAGGGUUCUAAAAAAACAAAAACAAAACUAGGAUUGAGGUCAGCUCCUAAAGUUGCCUUGGAAAACAACUAUGAAAGUGAAUCCUGUUAAACUCACUUCAAAAUAUGACAAAAGAGAAGACAACAUAUAAACUUUUUAGCAGAAGGGUGCAAGAAAGAUUAAAAGGCAAUCUUAACAAUUGCACUGUUUUACAACCCAACUAGAUCUUAGUUUUACCUAAAAUGCAGCAAUGAUUUUUGUUUUACAAAGAGAAAAAAAAAUCAAUUUUAGUUUUAUUUAAAAAUAUGCAACCUAAGAACCACUAUGUAUUUAUGUUGUUUGGGACUGUGCUGUGAAACAAGCUACUUCUUCAGUCUCCAACUUCCUCUUUAUCACUUGGUGAGUGAGCACCUGGGGUAGGAACACAAGGCAUGGUAAGAAAAGUGAAUCAAGAUAAAGACAGCAAAACUGACAAGAACGACCAGAAAGCCUCACGAACAACUGAUGAUGACCCCAUCAGUCCUGCAACUGACUGUUAUGGGUGUUAAUCAUUUAGGAAAUUGUAAUAAAGGACAGAUGAGCUACUGACAAACAUUCAGGCUAAGGAGUCUUCAGCUCAGGUCCCUCAUUUGCCUAGGCCCUAAAGGGCUUCAGAAUCUCCUAGGCACAGAAAAGAAGUCAGGCUGCAAACAAGAAGGAUUUCUAUUCAAGUAUUUCUGGUAAAUUCCCCCCCAGAGAUUUCAGAAGAAAAAUCUCCAUGAAUCCAGUAAUUUUUGUAGAUUUUUGGAGUGAUUUUUAAUAAUAAUUAAUAAUUUUUAAUAACUUAUAAUUUUAAAUACAUAUUCACUAUUCAUUUAAAAAUUAUUAAAUGUUUAAAUUAAAGAAUGUCUUUGCUAAUAAUUAGGACUCUGCUCUGUCUACAUGCAAUAAUUUAUUAAAGAUGCUUUAAUCAAACAUCAAGCCUUUAAAAAUGGAAGCCUUUGAAAAAAACAGACUGAAAAAACAAUAAUUAUAAGUCUUAUGCAUACUUACACAAGAAACAUAAAAGUCCUGGCUUAAAAAUUUUAUUGUCUGAAUACAAAUUCAACAUAAAAUACGAGUGGAUAAUGUGAGGUGUUUUGAUUGUGCACAAGACUUGAAGACCUUUCUUAGGUUCAGGAAACAGAAGUCAAUCAAAAGUUACAAAGAAAAAAAAAACACACAAAAAUUGGGGCAGGAGUUUAGCCAGUGAUUGAUAAGACACUGUGCCUAACUCUGGGGUUCCUGGGGUCUAUUCCUGACUCUGCCUCGUGACGUCAGCUUCUUGUUGAUGCAGACCUGGAGAGCUACCAGUGAUGGCGCCAGUAACUGUGGCUCAAGUAAUUGGGUUCCUGCCACCCAUGUGGGAGACUUAGCUUGAGUUUCCUACUCCCAGCUUUGGCCUUGAUUAGCCUUGGCUGCUGCAGGCAUGUUGGGAAUAAACCAGUGGAUAGCAGCUCAUUCUCUGUCUCUGCUUCUCGGAUAAAUACCUUUUUUAGAAAUUCAAGUAAGACAGAAUUAAGAAGAAAAAAAAAUAACUGCAAGACUGAAAAAAAAAGAGUCGAAGAGAAAGUAUGGAAAAUAUU